UACGUAGGGGGCGAGCGUUGUCCGGAUUCAUUGGGCGUAAAGAGCUCGUAGGCGGCUUGGCAAGUCGGAUGUGAAAACUCCAGGCUCAACCUGGAGCCGCCAUUCGAUACUGCUAUGGCUAGAGUCCGGUAGGGGAGUGUGGAAUUCCCGGUGUAGCGGUGAAAUGCGCAGAUAUCGGGAGGAACACCGAUGGCGAAGGCGGGUCUCUGGGCCGAUACUGACGCUGAGGCGCGAAAGCUAGGGUAGCAAACGGG
Molecule: ribosomal RNA, 254 nt
Filed under: uncultured bacterium
Lineage: Bacteria
Description: partial 16S ribosomal RNA
Rfam family: Bacterial small subunit ribosomal RNA
Source: RNAcentral